Molecule: RNA transcript, 4336 nt
Organism: Panthera uncia (snow leopard)
Lineage: Eukaryota; Metazoa; Chordata; Mammalia; Carnivora; Felidae
Gene: ZC3H15
Gene name: zinc finger CCCH-type containing 15
Exons: 11
Source: RefSeq, a predicted model, not a curated record
GCUCUUCGCUACCCACCAUGCUCUGCGGCACCGACCUGUCGCAAAGGCCGCAUUUCUGUGGUGAGUGAGUGCCUCGCUUUCCGUGCGGUGCGGCGGCGACGGAGGCCCGUGUCCUCUUCCUCCUGCCGCGGGGCCAGAUCCCCUGACGGUGUCCAGCUGCGCUUAAGUCUGGCCGGUGCCACCUCUCUCCGCAAUGCCCCCCAAGAAACAGGCUCAGGCCGGGGGCAGCAAAAAGGCGGAGCAGAAAAAGAAGGAGAAGAUUAUUGAAGAUAAAACUUUUGGUCUAAAGAAUAAGAAAGGAGCAAAGCAACAGAAAUUUAUCAAGGCUGUCACUCACCAAGUUAAGUUUGGUCAACAAAAUCCACGUCAGGUAGCACAAAGUGAAGCUGAAAAGAAGUUGAAGAAAGAUGACAAGAAGAAAGAAUUGCAAGAACUAAAUGAGCUGUUCAAACCUGUAGUUGCUGCUCAAAAAAUAAGUAAAGGUGCAGAUCCCAAGUCUGUGGUGUGUGCAUUUUUUAAGCAAGGACAGUGUACUAAAGGAGAUAAAUGUAAGUUCUCUCAUGACUUGACUCUGGAGAGAAAGUGUGAGAAGCGAAGUGUUUACAUUGAUGCAAGAGAUGAAGAACUUGAAAAAGAUACUAUGGAUAAUUGGGAUGAGAAAAAACUGGAAGAAGUAGUGAACAAGAAGCACGGUGAGGCGGAAAAGAAAAAACCAAAAACUCAAAUAGUGUGCAAGCAUUUCCUUGAAGCUAUUGAAAACAACAAAUACGGCUGGUUUUGGGUAUGCCCUGGAGGUGGUGAUAUUUGCAUGUAUCGUCAUGCACUUCCUCCUGGAUUUGUAUUGAAAAAAGAUAAAAAAAAAGAAGAGAAAGAAGAUGAAAUUUCAUUAGAAGAUCUAAUUGAAAGAGAGCGUUCUGCCCUAGGUCCAAAUGUUACCAAAAUCACUCUAGAAUCUUUUCUUGCAUGGAAGAAAAGAAAAAGACAAGAAAAGAUUGAUAAACUUGAGCAAGAUAUGGAAAGAAGAAAAGCAGACUUCAAAGCAGGGAAAGCAUUAGUGAUUAGUGGUCGUGAAGUGUUUGAAUUUCGUCCUGAACUGGUUGAUGAUGAUGAUGAGGAAGCAGAUGAUACCCGUUACACCCAGGGAACAGGUGGUGAUGAGGUUGAUGAUUCAGUGAGUGUAAAUGACAUAGAUUUAAGCCUGUAUAUCCCAAGAGAUGUAGAUGAGACAGGUAUUACUGUAGCCAGUCUUGAAAGAUUCAGCACGUAUACUUCAGAAAAGGAUGAAAACAAAUUAAGUGAAGCUUCCGGAGGUAGGGCUGAAAAUGGUGAAAGAAGUGAUUUGGAAGAGGACAACGAAGGGGAGGGACAGGAAAAUGGAGCCAUUGAUGCUGUUCCUGUUGAUGAAAAUCUUUUUACUGGGGAAGAUUUGGAUGAACUAGAAGAAGAAUUAAACACACUUGAUUUAGAAGAAUGACACCAAACAAGUCUGAAAAAAUUAAGCCAGCUCGGCAUGAGUUGAAAUUGACUACAGUAAUUUUUUUCCACCUAGAAUUCUUCAACAGGAUGUUUAUUUCCCAUGCUGAUUCUGGAGGGCUUACUCUCCUCCCAAAAAGGAAUAUUCUCCCUACGUCUUGUCUUCUGACUUUGGCUACAUCUCAUACUCAGUCUUUUAAUGGGAAGGGUAAAGCCUCAACUAUUUAAUAUGCAGCCUUCAAGAACCCUUAGAUGUGUGAAAUGGCUUAUAUACAGGAGACCCCAUUCAUCCCUGACACCCAUCUUACCCCUCUCCUCUCCCAAGAAGAUUUUUGGCAGCAAAGAAUUCUUUUUAAUUAUUGAUCAUUCAACAUUAGAGGUAACUAAAAAAUUAUUUAAUUUGUAGGUUUAUUACCCAUGUGGUUUCAGAUUGAUGAUAUGUAUAAAAGUCAACACCAUAUGAAGGAUAAAAGUAGAUACACUUUAUUUAAAAAGCCAGUAGAAUCACUAUUAAAAUUGAUAAGGAACUAUCAACACAGGUGACUUAUUUAUAAGAAAAUAGUAUUUAGAAGACUGGGAAGACAUUCACUGGAACAAGUAGUUUUAUAACUUGCUAGUCAUAGAAUUCUAUGGGGGUGCCUGGGUGGCUCAGUCGGUUGGUUAAGUGCCUGACUUUGGCUCAAGUCAUGAUCUUGUAGUUGGGUGGGUUCGAGCUUAGAGCCUGGAGCCUCCUUCAGAUUCUAUGUCUCUCCCUCUCUCUGCUGCUCCCCAACUUGCACUCCAUCUCUCUCUCAAAAAUAAACACUUAAAAAAAAGAACCGUAUAUCCAUAUAUAGCAUGUUACUGUACAAACAAUAUUCUUUAAAAACAAGGGAAAUGGUUUAGGAUCAAUUUUCUUAAUUCAUUUGCAUGAAGUCAAAAGGUUUCAUCUGGGCAAGAGCAUAAAUACACUUGAUCUUUUACAUGUGUCAUGUGCAUGUAAAAGGAAGAAAGAAAUCGUUUAAGGUUUCUAAAACUGGGUAUGAGAACGUCGUACUUGAUUAUUACAAAUAAGCAUGAUGAAUUCCACCUGAUAAAUUCACUUUAAAUGAAAUACAUUAAUGCUAACUAUAACAUUUGAAAAAGCACAGUUCCAUGCCCCCAUAUUUCAAAUUUGAAGAAUAUCACCAGACACUUAGCAAUUAAUUUCAAUCAGCUAUUUCUAUUAAGGAGUAAACUAUGAUAAAAUUCCCAAAAUUAGAAGAACCAAACUUACCCUGUUCACAUGUCUUUGUCCCCUCACACCCCACCCCACAGUUUAUGUAAACACAAUUAUUCAAAGAAAUACAAGAUGAAAUAAGGUAAACAUUUGUUGAAGAGAAGAAUAUCAGAUAGUAUUCUGUUGUUUGCAAAUAAUUGAGUUUGAAUUUUCAAAGGCUUGAAUAUCAAUAUAAUAAUAAUAAUAAUAUAAUAAUAAUAAAUAAGCCAUACCAAAAUGCUGUGUGGUUUUAGCAAGCACUCUGAAAUUUUUCAUGGAAAAUUGGAAGUGCUACAGAAAUGCACUCUAGAAUUUUUUUUAUUAUGUUUGAAAAAACAUUUCUUCAAAUCAUUUUUUUGAUAGUAUUCAAAUCUUCAAAAGACAGUUUUCAGGUCAUUUCUAAAGAUUAAUGUUUAUUUUUGAGAGAGAGAGAAAAAUAUGAGCGGGGGAGGGGCAGAGAGAGAGGGAGACAGAAUCUGAAGCAGGCUCCAGGCUCUGAGCUGUCAGGACAGAGCCUGAUGUGGCGUUUGAACUCACAAACUGUGAGAUCAUGACCUGAGCCAAAGUUAGAUGCUUAACUGACUGAGCCACCCAGGUGCUCCCAUAUCUGGAAAUUUUAAUUAGAAGAAACCUAGUAUGUGGAGGAGAUAGUGACAAUGGUAAAUAUUUAUCACUACCCCUUCCCCCCCACCCAGAAACAUGCCAUUCAAAGAGUAGAAACAGCAAAAUUGUAAUUUAAGUUUUCCUGAAUGAAUUUAGCCAAUUAACAUUUUAAAGUUAAGAGAUAUGAUUGACAACAAUAAAGCCUGUUACUUAAGCAUCAUUAGUCUUUAUUUUGUCUACCUUUACUUAGCUGUAUGUAAUUGGAAAUUGAACCUAUUCAAAUUUUUUUAGGUUUAUUUUUUUUUAAUUCUUGUUUAAUUUACAUUCAAGUUAGUUAGCAUAUGUCACCCUAUUGAAAUUUAAUAGGAGCUUUCUAUGCUGUCUAGAACUCUGCCAGUUUAUUUGAAUUCAAAUGAAAAUAACAGAUUUUUUUUUAAGUUUCAGAUUCUUAAAUGCAUAAUGUGAGAUGUCACUUACUGCUCAUACUUCCUGAACAGAGUUGAGUAGUGCUAACAGUUUUCAAAAGCCUGUCCAUCUUUUCAUCUUCUCUUCCCUUUGAUAGUUGAAGAUCAGAAGAGUGAAUGCAAAAUUGACUCUCAGAACUUAUCCAGAGGCAAAAAUAAAAGCAUAGGAAAACAUUAAAGUGAGCCAAUAGUAUUUCAAUAAUAUUUCAGAGGCUUUGACAAGAAACUUAGGCUGCCAACAGGUUUAUUCUUGUACUUCUAUUUUUGUAUCUGAUUCAAUUGCAUACGUAAGUAAGAGUCAUCAUACUUGUGUGUAGAACUGAAACUGAGCUUUUCUAUGAGAAAUAGAAUAAUAUGUUGGAAUUUGCUGCGCAGUAGCUGUGACAUGGAGGUUUUUGCCCCAGGGUUUAUAUUCUUUUUAAACUUUUAUUUAAAUUCUGGUUAUUUAACAUAUAGUGCAAUAUUGGUUUCAGGAGUAGAAGUCAGUGAUUUAUCACUUACAACACCCAGUGCUUGUCAUAACAAGUGCCCUCUUUUUUUUUUUUUUUUUUCUUUUGUU